UAGGGAAUCUUCCACAAUGGACGAAAGUCUGAUGGAGCAACGCCGCGUGAGUGAAGAAGGGUUUCGGCUCGUAAAACUCUGUUGUUAAAGAAGAACAUAUCUGAGAGUAACUGUUCAGGUAUUGACGGUAUUUAACCAGAAAGUCACGGCUAACUACGUGCCUG
RNAcentral lists this ribosomal RNA (164 nucleotides) under uncultured bacterium. RNAcentral describes it as "partial 16S ribosomal RNA". It matches the Rfam family "Bacterial small subunit ribosomal RNA", at positions 355 to 511 of the family's 1533-position model. The record is from RNAcentral.